RNAcentral lists this non-coding RNA (23 nucleotides) under Rattus norvegicus (Norway rat). The record is from RNAcentral. Lineage: Eukaryota; Metazoa; Chordata; Mammalia; Rodentia; Muridae.
UGCCAGUAUCCUGGUGUGUGGUC